This is a small nucleolar RNA of Accipiter nisus (Eurasian sparrowhawk), 92 nucleotides long. NCBI's taxonomy places the organism in Eukaryota, Metazoa, Chordata, Aves, Accipitriformes, Accipitridae. The record is from Ensembl.
GCUGGUGUAAGCGAUGACUGAAUUUUCUCCCCACCAGAGCGACAAGUGUUGAAUUCUCGCUGUUCAAGCCGGAUCGCGUCUGAUGCACCAGC